Molecule: long non-coding RNA, 392 nt
Filed under: Mus spicilegus (steppe mouse)
Lineage: Eukaryota; Metazoa; Chordata; Mammalia; Rodentia; Muridae
Description: lncRNA (ENSMSIG00000008678.1)
Source: RNAcentral
GGAGCCCGCUGGGGGGAUAUUUCACGUGCAAACUGUAGUGCUGACCUUCUGCUUCUGUGUAAGAGCCACCAAGUCAGCUACCUUUUGAGGGAAAACAGCUUAAAUCUUACUUGCAACAGAGAAACGGUACCUCGUGGGUGGCGAUCUAGUCCCUUUUCUUUUACAUCGUAAGCACUGAGAAGUCUCAUCUGCUCACCAGUGAUCACCUGUCAGCUGAAGUCAUCAGAUUGUCUUCAAGCCCCACCACACCUCCAGCCCCACUGGACUGUUUUCUCAAUGGAGGACUUUUCUUCUUGAAAGCAGUAAUCAGAAAGAGCAAGAAUCAGACUGAAGUGCUUCGUUGAAACUGUACAUUUUCAAGCACCUGAGGACCAAGCCAAUGUAGAGAUUGC